This 84-nucleotide microRNA precursor is filed under the name Bombyx mori (domestic silkworm). RNAcentral's name for it is "mir-2807 microRNA precursor family". It matches the Rfam family "mir-2807 microRNA precursor family". The record is from Rfam by way of RNAcentral. Lineage: Eukaryota; Metazoa; Arthropoda; Insecta; Lepidoptera; Bombycidae.
UGAACUCAAAUUUGUAUGGAGUUGGAACGUUUGCCUACGUUUGCCGCUAGGGGCGCUGUUCCAACUCCAUACAAACUCGAGUUA